Oxyura jamaicensis (ruddy duck) is the source of this 1831-nucleotide RNA transcript. It is a transcript of the gene named transmembrane protein 230, with no coding region annotated. The record is from RefSeq and is a predicted model, not a curated record. The transcript has 6 exons. NCBI's taxonomy places the organism in Eukaryota, Metazoa, Chordata, Aves, Anseriformes, Anatidae.
AAGGCUCAAAAUAACUCAGUGGAGCUGAGCCAGCGAGCGGCCGCUGCCAUAACCUGGAAGGAAACGACAGGCACAGAAUAAACUUCCUGGGUUGGCCUGCGGCUGCAGCACGGAGGAGAGGCGGCAGCGGGAGCGAUGGGUUUGACCAGCAGCGUUCUAGCUGAUUCCCAAGCAUCAUUGUAAUGAUGUCAUCAAGAAUGAAUCUGUCUGCUGGCAUUCCCAGUAGUAAAGUCAAGUAUUCCAAGCUUUCCAGUACUGAUGAUGGAUAUAUUGACCUGCAGUUCAAGAAGAGCCCACCUAAAAUUCCCUACAAGGCAAUUGCACUUGCUGUCGUGCUCUUCAUGAUUGGGACCUUUCUCAUUAUCAUAGGAGCCCUCCUCUUGGCAGGAUACAUUAGCAAAGGUGGAACGGACCGUGCUAUUCCCGUGCUCAUCAUCGGAAUCCUUGUAUUUCUCCCAGGCUUCUAUCACCUGCGCAUUGCAUAUUACGCUUCCAAAGGCUACCGGGGCUAUUCCUAUGAUGAUAUCCCAGAUUUUGAUGACUGAAUGAUGUUCCUGACAAUGUUAUAAUUAGCAGGAUCUCCACCUGCAAAGCACCUCUGAGUCUCCGUGACUUCUGCCUUUCCACUGGGCAAUUUUCUCAUUGCUGUGCUCAGGAGCUGCAGCUUGUCAGUUUAGCAGAGCACCAUGUCCAUACCCUUUUGGAAACAAAGUGGAAAUAAGUGACUUUUUGGCCUGAUCCUGCCCAUACACAUUUGUCAAUAGAAGUUGCCAUUUACUGCUGCAGGUUUGAGCAAGUCACUCAUGAACUUGAUUUAAGAUGGCAAAACUCAGCUUGUCUCCUGCCUGGGCACUAUCUCUUCAAAUAACAUAGACUUCAUCUGAUGGGUAGCUGCAAGCAGAACGCCAGUGUGAAUGUGCACCAGCAAAGCAAAAACGUCAGGAGCUGUCAGCCACAGGCUCCUUGCAGUCCUUCUUUUGUUGCCACAACAUCUCAGGGUCAGGAGAUAAGGCUCCAGCAAUUCAGAAGUAUUGGCAGCUAAAACUUGGCAGAAACGAGAACAAGGAGGAUAAGUGCAUGCUGCUUUCCUGGCUUCCUCCUGCUCCCAUUCUUCCCAAUAUAUAAAGACUCUCCCUUGGCUAGUUGCUUGUGAAAAGAGGACUGGGAAUGAACUCUGCGACGUGGCUAAACCUAUCUCCUCCAUCCUCUGCUAAAUACAGGCCUUACACCAGAGUCAGCAAGUUAAACGUUAACUAUUUGGUGCAGCCCCCGACGUACCAGACAUAAAAGCAUCAGGAAAAUUAGCUUCUCACCUGAAGCUGUCCAGUUGAGUCAGUGUCACUGCGUGUUCCCUAUUACUUGCACUUCCCCACGUUCAGUGACGUUUCAAUGAAUAUUAUUUGGCCAAGAUGGUCUCAUCAGCCCUAUUGCCAGAAGCACAGGAGGAUUUCUUGGUUGUUUGUACCCCACUGGCAGCCAGAAUCUGGUUUCCAUUUACAAAAUAUUUUGCAUUUACAAAGGUGAAGGAAGGUCUCUCUCCAAAAGUUACCAGAGGCAAAACCAUCUCGAUGUGAACAGUAGGGAUCCAACAAUUUUGCAACUAUGCAGACUUUUUCUUCUCUCCCCCUGUUGAUUUAUUACGUGAAUUCUGGCAACUGCAACUUUGCAACCCAUGCUAUUUAUCUUUCUAUAUAGUAAGCACAGCAGUAUAUCUUCCUCUUGGAUCACUGACUGAAGCCUCAGUAAUGUGAGUACUUGGACCAAAGUAGUCUUAGAUCCUUGGACCAAAAGACCUAAGAGCACUCUGCACUAAUUAAACCUCAUAAAACUC